Ornithorhynchus anatinus (platypus) is the source of this 252-nucleotide long non-coding RNA. RefSeq lists it as uncharacterized. The transcript has 2 exons. Lineage: Eukaryota; Metazoa; Chordata; Mammalia; Monotremata; Ornithorhynchidae. The record is from RefSeq and is a predicted model, not a curated record.
UUUUGCAAGUCCUAAAUGGAGUGGGUUCCCCUCUACCCCACCAUAAGUGUGCUGUACUGAGAGAUGGGGUGGGGAGAGAAGAUGGGGAUGGAGGUAGAAUGCUUGGUACAGAACCAGACUGCCAGAGCUUUUCAUGAAGGCAAAGCCGACCGCACAGAGAAAAUGAAAACAGAAGCUAGGAGACUUCGAAAGCCUUCUUGUUAUUUCUGUGAAAAAAAGAGAGCCUAUAAGAAUUAUAUGAUGCAAAAUCCA